This 450-nucleotide ribosomal RNA is filed under the name Burkholderia sp. SCN3724. RNAcentral's name for it is "bacterial SSU rRNA". It matches the Rfam family "Bacterial small subunit ribosomal RNA", at positions 126 to 569 of the family's 1533-position model. The record is from RNAcentral. Lineage: Bacteria; Pseudomonadati; Pseudomonadota; Betaproteobacteria; Burkholderiales; Burkholderiaceae.
GUGUCCUGUAGUGGGGGAUAGCCCGGCGAAAGCCGGAUUAAUACCGCAUACGCUCUGCGGAGGAAAGCGGGGGAUCCUUCGGGACCUCGCGCUACAGGGGCGGCCGAUGGCAGAUUAGCUAGUUGGUGGGGUAAAGGCCUACCAAGGCGACGAUCUGUAGCUGGUCUGAGAGGACGACCAGCCACACUGGGACUGAGACACGGCCCAGACUCCUACGGGAGGCAGCAGUGGGGAAUUUUGGACAAUGGGCGCAAGCCUGAUCCAGCAAUGCCGCGUGUGUGAAGAAGGCCUUCGGGUUGUAAAGCACUUUUGUCCGGAAAGAAAACCUCGUGGUUAAUACCCGUGGGGGAUGACGGUACCGGAAGAAUAAGCACCGGCUAACUACGUGCCAGCAGCCGCGGUAAUACGUAGGGUGCAAGCGUUAAUCGGAAUUACUGGGCGUAAAGCGUG